UUGACAGAACUGAAGAAUAGUCUUCUCUUGAGCUGCUGUAUAGAUACAUCCGGACUGUAAAACAGUCACAGUGGCUGAGAAAGUUUCCUUCCACAGUCCUGCCAGUGGACCUCAAGCUUGAAAUAGAAGGACCACCUCCAAGGGCGAGAGAGGAAUUAAUUCUUCAUAGCCAUUCAGCAUUUGGCCUCU
Calidris pygmaea (Spoon-billed sandpiper) is the source of this 189-nucleotide unclassified non-coding RNA. NCBI's taxonomy places the organism in Eukaryota, Metazoa, Chordata, Aves, Charadriiformes, Scolopacidae. The record is from Ensembl.